This 468-nucleotide ribosomal RNA is filed under the name uncultured bacterium. RNAcentral's name for it is "partial 16S ribosomal RNA". It matches the Rfam family "Bacterial small subunit ribosomal RNA", at positions 28 to 507 of the family's 1533-position model. The record is from RNAcentral.
GACGAACGCUGGCGGCGUGCUUAACACAUGCAAGUCGAACGGAAAGGCCCUGCUUUUGUGGGGUGCUCGAGUGGCGAACGGGUGCGUAACACGUGAGUAACCUGCCCUUGUCUUUGGGAUAACUUCAGGAAACUGGGGCUAAUAUCGGAUAGGAGAUCCUGCUGCAUGGUGGGGGUUGGAAAGUCUCGGCGGUUGGGGAUGGACGCGCGGCUUAUCAGCUUGUUGGUGGGGUAGUGGCUUACCAAGGCUGUGACGGGUAGCCGGCCUGAGAGGGUGACCGGCCACAUUGGGACUGAGAUACGGCCCAGACUCCUACGGGAGGCAGCAGUGGGGAAUAUUGCACAAUGAGCGGAAGCCUGAUGCAGCAACGCCGCGUGCGGGAUGACGGCCUUCGGGUUGUAAACCGCUUUCGCCUGUGACGAAGCGUGAGUGACGGUAAUGGGUAAAGAAGCACCGGCUAACUACGUG